GAUGAACGCUGGCGGCGUGCUUAACACAUGCAAGUCGAACGGAAAGGCCAGUGCUUGCACUGGUACUCGAGUGGCGAACGGGUGAGUAACACGUGGGUGAUCUGCCCUGCACUUCGGGAUAAGCCUGGGAAACUGGGUCUAAUACCGGAUAGGACAAUGGUUUGGAUGCCGUUGUGGAAAGUUUUUUCGGUGUGGGAUGAGCUCGCGGCGUAUCAGCUUGUUGGUGGGGUAAUGGCGUACCAAGGCGUAGACGGGUAGCCGGCCUGCGAGGGUGUACGGCCAGACUGGAACUGAAAUGCGGCCCAGAGUCGGAAGGGUGGCAGCAGUGGGGAAUAUUGGACAAAGGGAGAAAGCCUGAUGGAGGGAGGCCGCGUGGGUGAUGACGGCUUUCGGGGUGUAAGCUAAUUUCGCUAGGGAUGAAGCGUAGUUGUGACGGUACCUGGAGAAGAAGCACCGGCUAACUACGUG
This 468-nucleotide ribosomal RNA is filed under the name uncultured bacterium. Its description in RNAcentral is "partial 16S ribosomal RNA". It matches the Rfam family "Bacterial small subunit ribosomal RNA", at positions 28 to 507 of the family's 1533-position model. The record is from RNAcentral.